ACGGCCAUACCACGUUGAAAACACCGGUUCUCGUCUGAUCACCUAAGUUAAGCAACGUCGGGCCCGGUCAGUACUUGGGAGGGUGACCACCUGGGAACACCGGGUGCUGUAGGCU
This is a non-coding RNA of Cordylochernes scorpioides, 115 nucleotides long. Lineage: Eukaryota; Metazoa; Arthropoda; Arachnida; Pseudoscorpiones; Chernetidae. The record is from the annotation of a GenBank genome assembly.